Long non-coding RNA from Raphanus sativus (radish), 798 nucleotides. RefSeq lists it as uncharacterized. The record is from RefSeq and is a predicted model, not a curated record. The transcript is spliced from 2 exons. NCBI's taxonomy places the organism in Eukaryota, Viridiplantae, Streptophyta, Magnoliopsida, Brassicales, Brassicaceae.
GGGACUUAGGAUUCUUCCCACUUUUGGUCUUCACCGUUGGUUCGAGAGCUUGAUACGAUGAAGUCGACUUCAAGAAUCUCUGCAUAGGGUUUUGACGUGCCUUUUGAUCUUCUUAUUAGAAAUACGAAACGUUGCCACCGAAGAACUUCUUCUAUUCUUCCAACUGCUAUGAAGAUCCAUUAAUUCCGACCAACCUCUGUUGGAGGCCGCCGUCUGUGACUAAUCGAUUUGAGCUUUAGGAGUUUGUUUCAUCGCACCGUUACGACCGCAUUCAAGCAUCACCAUUAAGGCUCACAUUAACCCCAAUCAUCUAUUCCAUUGUGUGAAUCCAAGCUAUAAUUAUAAUCCAGCGGUCGAGUUUGUGUGGGUGGUGAACGCAAUAGAAAAAGCUGUGAAGAAACGAUGCAUCAUCUCACGCUGGAGAUCAUUGGGGUUGGGAAGAAGAAGCUUUAUGAAGCAAAAGUGUGGGUGAAGCCAAGGUUGAACUUCAAGGAGUUCAAGCAUGCCGGUGAUGAUGCCCCUGCCAUUACUCCCUCCUAUCUUGGCUGCAAAUAAGGUAUUACUACAAACGGUUUAAAAUAUUUCAUAAACAGAAUAAGUAUCACUUCAGUGUUUUAACUUCAAAUUGUAUUUCCUCUUCUUUAUGAAUUAUGCAGCUUCAACGAAGCUAUGUUUGCUUCUUUUUUAAACUAUUUUAAACCGUAGAACUGGUUUGAUGCCCCGUCGUUAAGUGCAUUUUGUUAACUUAAAAAAAAUUAUGUUGAUUCUAUUUUUAGUUAUGAUUUUAAAUUGUAGUCA